AUACGGAGGGUGCAAGCGUUGUUCGGAAUUACUGGGCGUAAAGCGCGCGUAGGCGGUUUGUUAUGUCAGAUGUGAAAGUCCACGGCUCAACCGUGGAAGUGCAUUUGAAACUGGCAAACUUGAGUACUGGAGGGGGUGGUGGAAUUCCCGGUGUAGAGGUGAAAUUCGUAGAUAUCGGGAGGAAUACCGGUGGCGAAGGCGACCACCUGGCCAGAUACUGACGCUGAGGUGCGAAAGCGUGGGGAGCAAACAGGAUUAGAAACCCGAGUAGUCC
This 274-nucleotide ribosomal RNA is filed under the name uncultured bacterium. RNAcentral's name for it is "partial 16S ribosomal RNA". It matches the Rfam family "Bacterial small subunit ribosomal RNA", at positions 523 to 796 of the family's 1533-position model. The record is from RNAcentral.